Molecule: ribosomal RNA, 542 nt
Filed under: uncultured Desulfobulbaceae bacterium
Lineage: Bacteria; Pseudomonadati; Thermodesulfobacteriota; Desulfobulbia; Desulfobulbales; Desulfobulbaceae
Description: bacterial SSU rRNA
Rfam family: Bacterial small subunit ribosomal RNA
Source: RNAcentral
AGAGUUUGAUCCUGGCUCAGAACGAACGCUGGCGGCGUGCUUAACACAUGUAAGUCGAACGCGAAAGGGACUUCGGUCCCGAGUAGAGUGGCGCACGGGUGAGUAACGCGUAAGUAAUCUACCCCUGUAUCUGGAAUAACCCACCGAAAGGUGAGCUAAUACCGGAUACGUUUAUCUUGAUGCGAAUGAUGAUAAAGAAAGGUGGCCUCUUCAUGAAAGCUACCGUACAGGGACGAGCUUGCGUACCAUUAGCUGGUUGGUAGGGUAAUGGCCUACCAAGGCGACGAUGGUUAGCGGGUCUGAGAGGAUGAUCCGCCACACUGGAACUGAAACACGGACCAGACUCCUACGGGAGGCAGCAGUGAGGAAUAUUGCGCAAUGGGGGCAACCCUGACGCAGCGACGCCGCGUGGACGAUGAAGGCCCUUGGGUCGUAAAAUCCUGUCAGAUGGAAAGAAAUGUACAGGUGUUAAUAUCGCCUGUAUUUGACGGUACCAUCAAAGGAAGCACCGGCUAACUCCGUGCCAGCAGCCGCGGUAAUAC